This is a non-coding RNA of Endozoicomonas sp. (ex Bugula neritina AB1), 122 nucleotides long. The record is from Rfam. Lineage: Bacteria; Pseudomonadati; Pseudomonadota; Gammaproteobacteria; Oceanospirillales; Endozoicomonadaceae.
AUGGCUGGCUGUAAAUAUGCACGGUCAUGCCAGAUUAUGAAUGCAUAUUCCAUGGAGAAGUUACAAUGGCUUUGACUGUUGAAAAGAAAGCUGAAAUCAUCAAAGAAUUCGGUCGUGUUGAA